This 338-nucleotide ribosomal RNA is filed under the name uncultured bacterium. RNAcentral describes it as "bacterial SSU rRNA". It matches the Rfam family "Bacterial small subunit ribosomal RNA", at positions 8 to 354 of the family's 1533-position model. The record is from RNAcentral.
AGAGUUUGAUCAUGGCUCAGGAUGAACGCUGGCGGCGUGCCUAACACAUGCAAGUCGAGCGAUCUUCUUCGGAAGAGAGCGGCGGACGGGUGAGUAACGCGUGGGUAACCUGCCCUGUACACACGGAUAACAUACCGAAAGGUAUGCUAAUACGGGAUAACAUAAGAAAUUCGCAUGUUUUUCUUAUCAAAGCUCCGGCGGUACAGGAUGGACCCGCGUCUGAUUAGCUAGUUGGUGAGGUAACGGCUCACCAAGGCGACGAUCAGUAGCCGACCUGAGAGGGUGAUCGGCCACAUUGGAACUGAGACACGGUCCAAACUCCUACGGGACGCCAGCAG